RNAcentral lists this ribosomal RNA (310 nucleotides) under Leikung sp. WM11. RNAcentral's name for it is "partial 12S ribosomal RNA". Lineage: Eukaryota; Metazoa; Arthropoda; Arachnida; Araneae; Salticidae. The record is from RNAcentral.
AGGUAGUAAUUUUAAAUAAAACCUAAUUAUAAAUGGCGGCUUUCAUACUAUUAGAGGAACUUGUCAGUUAAUCGAUAAUCCACGCUAACUUUUACUUUAAUAUAAAAUUUAUAUAUCGCCAUCUUAAGAAAUUUUUCUAAUAAUUUUUCUCAAUAAUAUAUAAUAAGUUAGGUCAAGGUGUAGUCAAUAUUAAAGAUAUGGUGAGUUACUCUAAAUAAAAUUUAAGGAAUUUAAUAAAAAUAUUAUUAGAAAAAGAAUUUAUAAGUAAACUUUUAAUAUUAAUUCAACAUGAAAAAAAUUUACAAAGUGU